This 497-nucleotide ribosomal RNA is filed under the name uncultured bacterium. Its description in RNAcentral is "partial 16S ribosomal RNA". It matches the Rfam family "Bacterial small subunit ribosomal RNA", at positions 28 to 507 of the family's 1533-position model. The record is from RNAcentral.
GAUGAACGCUGGCGGCGUGCCUAAUACAUGCAAGUCGAGCGAACGGACGAGAAGCUUGCUUCUCUGAUGUUAGCGGCGGACGGGAGAGUAACACGUGGAUAACCUACCUAUAAGACUGGGAUAACUUCGGGAAACCGUAGCUAAUACCGGAUAAUAUUUUGAACCGCAUGGGUCAAAAGUGAAAGACGGUCUUGCUGUCACUUAUAGAUGGAUCCGCGCUGCAUUAGCCAGUUGGUAAGGUAACGGCUUACCAAGGCAACGAUGCAUAGCCGACCUGAGAGGGUGAUCGGCCACACUGGAACUGAGCCACGGUCCAGACUCCUACGGGAGGCAGCAGUAUGGAAUCUUCCGCAAUGGGCGAAAGCCUGACGGAGCAACGCCGCGUGAGUGAUGAAGGUCUUCGGAUCGUAAAACUCUGUUAUUAGGGAAGAACAUAUGUGUAAGUAACUGUGCACAUCUUGACGGUACCUAAUCAGAAAGCCACGGCUAACUACGUG